Acanthosepion pharaonis is the source of this 109-nucleotide non-coding RNA. NCBI's taxonomy places the organism in Eukaryota, Metazoa, Mollusca, Cephalopoda, Sepiida, Sepiidae. The record is from the annotation of a GenBank genome assembly.
ACCACUUCAUGCUGAAACACUGUUUCCCAUACGAUCCCUGAAGUUAAGCAACAUCGAGCCUGGUCAGUACUUUGAUGGGUGACUGCUUGUGAAUACCAGGUGCUGUAAG